CUCUUGUAUAAGCUCAUUGAUCUGGAAUGAGCGUCUCGACCAGGCAACCAUAAUUGCCCCAGGCUACAAGAG
Molecule: non-coding RNA, 72 nt
Filed under: unclassified sequences
Description: Guanine sequence
Rfam family: Purine riboswitch aptamer
About the family: Riboswitches are metabolite binding domains within certain messenger RNAs that serve as precision sensors for their corresponding targets. Allosteric rearrangement of mRNA structure is mediated by ligand binding, and this results in modulation of gene expression. A class of riboswitches that selectively recognises guanine and becomes saturated at concentrations as low as 5 nM.
Source: RNAcentral